Molecule: ribosomal RNA, 316 nt
Filed under: uncultured Clostridium sp.
Lineage: Bacteria; Bacillati; Bacillota; Clostridia; Eubacteriales; Clostridiaceae
Description: bacterial SSU rRNA
Rfam family: Bacterial small subunit ribosomal RNA
Source: RNAcentral
UGGGGGAUAUUGCACAAUGGGGGAAACCCUGAUGCAGCGACGCCGCGUGAGUGAAGAAGUAUUUUCGGUAUGUAAAGCGUCUAUCAGCAGGGAAGAAAAUGACGGUACCUGAGUAAGAAGCCCCGGCUAACUACGUGCCAGCAGCCGCGGUAAUACGUAGGGGGCAAGCGUUAUCCGGAUUUACUGGGUGUAAAGGGAGCGUAGACGGCAGGGCAAGUCUGAAGUGAAAGGCGGGGGCUCAACCCCCGGACUGCUUUGGAAACUGUCCGGCUGGAGUGCAGGGAGAGGUAAGUGGAAUUCCUAGUGUAGCGGUGAA